UUUAUACUUCCUUUGUCCGAAAAAACUUGUUUCAAAUUUGUUUUUUAAAUGGAUGUAUCUAUCAUUAAUUUGGAGCUAGAUACAUCCAUUUGAGGAAGUUUUUUCGGACAGAAAGAGUACUAU
Molecule: non-coding RNA, 123 nt
Organism: Triticum aestivum (bread wheat)
Lineage: Eukaryota; Viridiplantae; Streptophyta; Magnoliopsida; Poales; Poaceae
Source: Rfam